RNAcentral lists this ribosomal RNA (253 nucleotides) under uncultured bacterium. RNAcentral's name for it is "partial 16S ribosomal RNA". It matches the Rfam family "Bacterial small subunit ribosomal RNA", at positions 524 to 776 of the family's 1533-position model. The record is from RNAcentral.
UACGUAGGGUGCGAGCGUUGUCCGGAAUUAUUGGGCGUAAAGAGCUUGUAGGCGGUUUGUCGCGUCUGCCGUGAAAAUCCGAGGCUCAACCUCGGACUUGCGGUGGGUACGGGCAGACUAGAGUGUGGUAGGGGAGACUGGAAUUCCUGGUGUAGCGGUGAAAUGCGCAGAUAUCAGGAGGAACACCAGCGGCGAAGGCGCUGCUCUGGGCCGGUACUGACGCUGAGGAGCGAAAGCGUGGGGAGCGAACAGG